This 233-nucleotide unclassified non-coding RNA is filed under the name Hevea brasiliensis (rubber tree). The record is from RNAcentral. Lineage: Eukaryota; Viridiplantae; Streptophyta; Magnoliopsida; Malpighiales; Euphorbiaceae.
UGGAGAAAGACGGACGGGAACAGUACCAUUGUGAUCUCCUUCUCUGGCGCUUGCUUGUAUGAAGGUUUAAGGCCUUUCUCAAAAGAUUUGGUCCAACAAUAGUUUCAUAUAAAGAUGUGAUUUGCCUCUCCAAGUUCAUUCCCCCACCCCCAGAAACAGUUGAGCUGGUUGUACUUAAGCUCCAAGGUUUUUACCCCAACAAAUCAAAUUAUAUCUGGGAAAAGGUGUUCUAU